This 339-nucleotide ribosomal RNA is filed under the name Siphonaria sp. BMNH 1994092. RNAcentral's name for it is "partial 12S ribosomal RNA". Lineage: Eukaryota; Metazoa; Mollusca; Gastropoda; Siphonariida; Siphonariidae. The record is from RNAcentral. RNAcentral also lists the same sequence under 1 other name.
ACAAAGUUAAAAUUUAAAAUCUAAGCACUAAGACUUUAAAGUUAAAACUUAAAGAACAUGGCGACGGUGACUACUCAGGGGAACUUACCAGAUAAAUUGACAACCCACACGGAACCGUGCUCAACUUUAAAGUAUGUAUACCGCCGUCUUUAGAACUUCCUUAAGGGUAGUUCUACUAGUUUAUCUACUAUAAGACAGGUCAUGGUGCAGCCAAUAGUUUAGCCUAGGCGAGUUACAAUAUAUAUUUUUUUCGUUACUUUUUUUGAAAUAAAAUUUAAGAGCAGGACUUGAAAGUAAAAUUUAAAAGAAAUAGAUUUUGAAUAUUAUUUCUCACCGUGC